GUUAGGAAUAUUGGACAAUGGGCGCAAGCCUGAUCCAGCCAUGCCGCGUGAGUGAUGAAGGCCUUCGGGUUGUAAAGCUCUUAAGUCCACGAAUAUAAUGACUGUAGUGGAAGAAUAAGCCCCGGCUAACUUCGUGCCAGCAGCCGCGGUAAUACGAAGGGGGCGAGCGUUAUUCGGAAUCACUGGGCGUAAAGCGUGCGUAGGCUGUUUUGUAAGUCAGAAUUGAAAGCCCAGGGCUUAACCCUGGAAUUGCUUUUGAAACUACAAGACUCGAAUUCGGGAGAGGAUAGCGGAAUUGUCAGUGUAGCAGUGAAAUGCGUAGAUAUUGACAGGAACACCAGUGGCGCAAGCGGCUAUCUGGACCGAUAUUGACGCUGAGGCACGAAAGCGUGGGGAGCAAACAGGAUUAGAUACCCCUGUAGUCC
Molecule: ribosomal RNA, 425 nt
Filed under: uncultured bacterium
Lineage: Bacteria
Description: partial 16S ribosomal RNA
Rfam family: Bacterial small subunit ribosomal RNA
Source: RNAcentral